Molecule: ribosomal RNA, 276 nt
Filed under: uncultured bacterium
Lineage: Bacteria
Description: partial 16S ribosomal RNA
Rfam family: Bacterial small subunit ribosomal RNA
Source: RNAcentral
CUUUCUCCGCCGGCGACCGACGCACGGGUGAGUAACACGUAUGCAACCUGCCCCUGUCAGGGGGACAACCCGCCGAAAGGCGGGCUAAACCCGCGUACAUGCCACCGGGGCAUCCCGGAGGCAGGAAAGGCUUCGGCCGGACAGGGAUGGGCAUGCGGCGCAUUAGGCAGUAGGCGGGGUAACGGCCCACCUAACCGACGAUGCGUAGGGGUUCUGAGAGGAAGGUCCCCCACACUGGUACUGAGACACGGACCAGACUCCUACGGGAGGCAGCAG